This 453-nucleotide long non-coding RNA is filed under the name Hordeum vulgare. RNAcentral describes it as "long non-coding RNA (HVUL_LNC016595)". The record is from RNAcentral. Lineage: Eukaryota; Viridiplantae; Streptophyta; Magnoliopsida; Poales; Poaceae.
GCUACUCCACGUAAAAAAUGAUGCAAUCUUACGCUAUCAAAUCUCUACUAGCUCUCUUCCUCCCCACGGAAAACAAAUCCAUAUCUCUCUCUCAUAUUGGAUCAAGCCAGUAGGGAUAUGGAUCCGAUGAGCUCAUGGAACGACAAUAAAUUCAAGUCAUGGACCGGAUUUGACGAGCCCUAAUCAGCAACCCCUAGGUGACACUGCAUUGCUCCGUCAGAUUUGUCCUCAAGAAGGGGAUGUAACGUAUGCAAUGGCCGCAACCUGGGAGAAGAUGUAAGCGGUCUGCAAGUGCAAAAACCUGGAGCUGAGCAGAAGGAGGUUCUCCAGAUCAGGCAUAUAUUAAUAAUGUUUUAUGUUUUAAAUGAUAUUGCAGGUGAUCUAAUAUUACUACUUUGGCUAUUCGAUUCUUGGCUUCCGAUAAUUUCAUCCCUGAAGGAAAGGUUGCACGUG